UGAAGAGUUUGAUCAUGGCUCAGAUUGAACGCUGGCGGCAGGCCUAACACAUGCAAGUCGAACGGUAACAGGAAGCAGCUUGCUGCUUUGCUGACGAGUGGCGGACGGGUGAGUAAUGUCUGGGAAACUGCCUGAUGGAGGGGGAUAACUACUGGAAACGGUGGCUAAUACCGCAUAACGUCGCAAGACCAAAGAGGGGGACCUUCGGGCCUCUUGCCAUCAGAUGUGCCCAGAUGGGAUUAGCUUGUUGGUGAGGUAACGGCUCACCAAGGCGACGAUCCCUAGCUGGUCUGAGAGGAUGACCAGCCACACUGGAACUGAGACACGGUCCAGACUCCUACGGGAGGCAGCAGUGGGGAAUAUUGCACAAUGGGCGCAAGCCUGAUGCAGCCAUGCCGCGUGUAUGAAGAAGGCCUUCGGGUUGUAAAGUACUUUCAGCGGGGAGGAAGGUGUUGUGGUUAAUAACCACAGCAAUUGACGUUACCCGCAGAAGAAGCACCGGCUAACUCCGUGCCAGCAGCCGCGGUAAUACGGAGGGUGCAAGCGUUAAUCGGAAUUACUGGGCGUAAAGCGCACGCAGGCGGUCUGUCAAGUCGGAUGUGAAAUCCCCGGGCUCAACCUGGGAACUGCAUUCGAAACUGGCAGGCUUGAGUCUUGUAGAGGGGGGUAGAAUUCCAGGUGUAGCGGUGAAAUGCGUAGAGAUCUGGAGGAAUACCGGUGGCGAAGGCGGCCCCCUGGACAAAGACUGACGCUCAGGUGCGAAAGCGUGGGGAGCAAACAGGAUUAGAUACCCUGGUAGUCCACGCCGUAAACGAUGUCUACUUGGAGGUUGUGCCCUUGAGGCGUGGCUUCCGGAGCUAACGCGUUAAGUAGACCGCCUGGGGAGUACGGCCGCAAGGUUAAAACUCAAAUGAAUUGACGGGGGCCCGCACAAGCGGUGGAGCAUGUGGUUUAAUUCGAUGCAACGCGAAGAACCUUACCUGGUCUUGACAUCCACAGAACUUUCCAGAGAUGGAUUGGUGCCUUCGGGAACUGUGAGACAGGUGCUGCAUGGCUGUCGUCAGCUCGUGUUGUGAAAUGUUGGGUUAAGUCCCGCAACGAGCGCAACCCUUAUCCUUUGUUGCCAGCGGUCCGGCCGGGAACUCAAAGGAGACUGCCAGUGAUAAACUGGAGGAAGGUGGGGAUGACGUCAAGUCAUCAUGGCCCUUACGACCAGGGCUACACACGUGCUACAAUGGCGCAUACAAAGAGAAGCGACCUCGCGAGAGCAAGCGGACCUCAUAAAGUGCGUCGUAGUCCGGAUUGGAGUCUGCAACUCGACUCCAUGAAGUCGGAAUCGCUAGUAAUCGUGGAUCAGAAUGCCACGGUGAAUACGUUCCCGGGCCUUGUACACACCGCCCGUCACACCAUGGGAGUGGGUUGCAAAAGAAGUAGGUAGCUUAACCUUCGGGAGGGCGCUUACCACUUUGUGAUUCAUGACUGGGGUGAAGUCGUAACAAGGUAACCGUAGGGGAACCUGCGGUUGGAUCACCUCCUUACCUGAAAGAAGC
This 1550-nucleotide ribosomal RNA is filed under the name Salmonella enterica subsp. enterica serovar Javiana. RNAcentral describes it as "bacterial SSU rRNA". It matches the Rfam family "Bacterial small subunit ribosomal RNA". Lineage: Bacteria; Pseudomonadati; Pseudomonadota; Gammaproteobacteria; Enterobacterales; Enterobacteriaceae. The record is from RNAcentral.